Oncorhynchus tshawytscha (Chinook salmon) is the source of this 1179-nucleotide long non-coding RNA. The record is from Ensembl. Lineage: Eukaryota; Metazoa; Chordata; Actinopteri; Salmoniformes; Salmonidae.
GGGCUGUAUGUUUUUUCUCAAUAUGUCUUCAUUCAAGUACUGCAAAAACACUUUGUUGCUCAAAGUGCCAGAAAACAUUCUAUAACAUUCGUUGCGACAUUCUAAUAAACAUUCUUUCUGUCUCUCUUUGAGAGCCAACCACCUCCUCCCAUGUAGUUCUGCUUGCGAUAAGUUAGUCAGUCUACCACUGCAGGCAAACAAACAGUACCAAUACAGUGCACUACUUUUGAACAGGGCCCAUAUUGUUCCGGUCAAAAGUAGUGCACUAUGUAGUGGAUUAGGGUGCCAUUUCAGACACAUUCAUAAAGUCUGAAAUGACAAAAAACAACAAAAAAAACAGUCAAGAUUUCGCACCUCCUGACCUUUUUAAAGGAUUAGAGUGUAAAGACUAAGGCCUCUGCAAAUCACAAGACCGGAACAUAAAACAAACCAGCCACAAUUUAAAUCUAUUAAAAACAAACCAACUAAAACAGACCAAAAAAAAACAACACCACAGACAUACGGAUCCAUUUGGAUAGGUAUGAAUUGGUUCCCAAGCAGUGGAGUUGAUCAGGUGAGUCCCCACCUCAAGGACAAGUCCAGGUAGUUCCUCCCUGUUUCGGCCCGUUAGCUUCCGUUUCGUGCCUAAUGAACCAGAGCCCGCUGUCCUCCAGCCGUCCAUCCGUGUGUCUACAGAGCAAUGAACACUGUCAGGGUUUACUCCUCACCUCCCUCACCCAAUGAGGUAACUGUGUGGUCCUGAAAGGAAUCCCCUUGUUUGUGAAAUCCACCAAUCACCUUCCCUAGUCCCUACGCAUGUGUCCCCCUCCUUCAGCAUGAAGUGAGGCUCUAACAGUUCAGACAGGAAGUAGUCCCUGUUAAUGGCAGGGGAUGUGUUGAGGGCGUAUUGACUUGUGAAGUAGUGAGGGCGAGCCGUGGCUUCACUGCCAGUCAGUUGUCCACCUUCACAGGGCCUGAGUCGUGGUUCGAUGGUUCCUCAGUGCUGGGCUCUACCCUGGGAUCAACAGGCUCUGCCCUGGGAUCAACAGGCUCUGCCCUGGGGUCAACAGGCUCUGCCCUGGGGUCAACAGGCUCUGCCCUGGGGUCAACAGGCUCUGCCCUGGGGUCAACAGGCUCUGCCCUGGGAUCAACAGGCUCUGACGGAGCCCACACUCCUCUCACUCCACUGUCCACCUCCUC